UAGAGUGCGGUAGUUGUUGUGUGU
Molecule: unclassified non-coding RNA, 24 nt
Filed under: Chlamydomonas reinhardtii
Lineage: Eukaryota; Viridiplantae; Chlorophyta; Chlorophyceae; Chlamydomonadales; Chlamydomonadaceae
Description: small RNA Cre_2281
Source: RNAcentral